RNAcentral lists this ribosomal RNA (279 nucleotides) under Escherichia coli. Its description in RNAcentral is "partial 16S ribosomal RNA". It matches the Rfam family "Bacterial small subunit ribosomal RNA", at positions 1 to 276 of the family's 1533-position model. The record is from RNAcentral. Lineage: Bacteria; Pseudomonadati; Pseudomonadota; Gammaproteobacteria; Enterobacterales; Enterobacteriaceae.
AAAUUGAAGAGUUUGAUCAUGGCUCAGAUUGAACGCUGGCGGCAGGCCUAACACAUGCAAGUCGAACGGUAACAGGAAUCAGCUUGCUGAUUCGCUGACGAGUGGCGGACGGGUGAGUAAUGUCUGGGAAACUGCCUGAUGGAGGGGGAUAACUACUGGAAACGGUAGCUAAUACCGCAUAACGUCGCAAGACCAAAGAGGGGGACCUUCGGGCCUCUUGCCAUCGGAUGUGCCCAGAUGGGAUUAGCUAGUAGGUGGGGUAACGGCUCACCUAGGCGA